This 430-nucleotide ribosomal RNA is filed under the name uncultured bacterium. Its description in RNAcentral is "bacterial SSU rRNA". It matches the Rfam family "Bacterial small subunit ribosomal RNA", at positions 354 to 796 of the family's 1533-position model. The record is from RNAcentral.
GUGGGGAAUAUUGCACAAUGGGCGCAAGCCUGAUGCAGCGACGCCGCGUGAGGGAUGACGGCCUUCGGGUUGUAAACCUCUUUCAGCAGGGACGAAGCGUGAGUGACGGUACCUGCAGAAGAAGCACCGGCCAACUACGUGCCAGCAGCCGCGGUAAUACGUAGGGUGCAAGCGUUGUCCGGAAUUACUGGGCGUAAAGAGCUCGUAGGCGGUUUGUCGCGUCGUCUGUGAAAACCAGCAGCUCAACUGUUGGCUUGCAGGCGAUACGGGCAGACUUGAGUAUUUCAGGGGAGACUGGAAUUCCUGGUGUAGCGGUGAAAUGCGCAGAUAUCAGGAGGAACACCGGUGGCGAAGGCGGGUCUCUGGGAAAUAACUGACGCUGAGGAGCGAAAGCGUGGGUAGCGAACAGGAUUAGAAACCCGAGUAGUCC